ACCUGACUUACUCCGUUUAUGCUCCUCAAAUCAACAAGAUCUUGCACUGUGAACAAGUUCAGGUUGGUGAGUGUGAGGAAGUACGGGCCAGUGUCCAGAUGGAGAAGCAGGGACUUAUUCGCUGUCUGGAAUUCCUGAAGACCAAGGACAUCAAGGUGCGCUCUUUGACAACUGACCGACACCGCUCAAUAGCGAAGCACAUGAGGGAGGUGGAGCCUGAAGUUCUUCACUACUUUGAUGUGUGGCACGUAUCGAAAAGUAUAAAGAAGGCUAUCACAGCGGCAAGCAAGAC
Long non-coding RNA from Ixodes scapularis (black-legged tick), 292 nucleotides. RefSeq lists it as uncharacterized. The record is from RefSeq and is a predicted model, not a curated record. Lineage: Eukaryota; Metazoa; Arthropoda; Arachnida; Ixodida; Ixodidae. The transcript has 3 exons.